This is a long non-coding RNA of Astatotilapia calliptera (eastern happy), 1093 nucleotides long. The record is from Ensembl. NCBI's taxonomy places the organism in Eukaryota, Metazoa, Chordata, Actinopteri, Cichliformes, Cichlidae.
GAGGGCUGUUAGCGGCGCGCUGUGCAAGUGAAGUGUGUUCAGUGUGGAGAAAAUCUCAUGGCAACAGUCAGCACCAGUUGUUUGAUACUGUAGCUCAGCCUGAGCUUUGGCAUGAUGGGUGCCUUGCUGAGCCCACAAUGGAUCAUGCAUGACCACAGCACUUAAAAAUAGAAGUGGAGAAAGCAAAACUGCAGAUAUUCUAGCAGCUGCCUUGUGGCAUAAAUAUUGUGAUAUGAGCCAUUUAUAAUCAAUCUGAAAACAAAUAUAUUUUCUUUGAAUGUAUUACAGUGACACAAAGUGACACUCUUACGUAUAAGAAAAUGUGUGUUAGCGUUAUUGCGUUUGAAGGUUUUUCUUUUUCUGUUCUUUUUUUUUUUAUAGAAAAGAUGCAUACCAAGCUUGGGGAAUAGAGACUGACAGCAUGUGUCCAGCAGACAAGUAAAUGGUAAGAUAAUGAACUCUGCUCAGUUGUGUCUUUUUGAACUUGUAUGUUUCAAACUUGCAUUAGGGCAAGUAGUAUCCUUUGAAGCUUUUAGACAUUUGUCAGCUUGUUGCUUCUACAUUUGCCUUUACAAUAAAGUACAUAAUGCAGUAGGAUCUUUAUUUAUUAUGUUGUUUUUUUAGAUCUUAUGCUAAAACAUAAAAGCUGUUCUUUCAGCUGUUUUUUUUUUUCACUUAAAAGUCAUAAAGGAAACUCUGACAUUAGACUAAACAAAUCAGUACUUUACAAUGAUGAAUGCCUUAUUCUCACAGUCCCUUCACUCUGAAUAUGAACACAAAGUUAAUUUAGUUAUUUAUUUAUUUUUACAGUCGGUACUUAUUUAAAUCACUGUAAGCUUAGCAAGAAUGCUACUUACUGUAUAGGCAAAGCUAUCAAUAGCAUUCAAUAGCAGUAGUAAAUAGCAUUAGAAGUAGCAAUGUUACUCAGUAUUUGCUAGAUGUGUGAAUAGGCUCAUAAUUGCUAACAUCUUUACUAUAUCAAUUCCUAUGGGACCUUAUCUAGGUCAGGUUUUUGUUAUGCACCACCCACUGAGAAUAUUAAAUUUGGGCAUUGUAGGCCUAACACUUAUUACUAUGCUUGCGAUACCAGUCA